UUGGGAAGUUUUCACUUGAAACCACAGUUCACAGAAAAGAACCAAAGAUCUUUCUGUUUCCCAAUCAAUCCUAUUUAUAUCUGCAACUCCAAUACAUAAUCUUUUGAAUUCUUGGUAAAGCUAGAAAAAUAGCACAUAAUAAAAAAGAAAAAAAAAACAAAAACAUAAAAAUUCCAGAAAGCUUACUUCGUAAUCCUACUGACUGAAUUAGAAAAUAAAAUUCAUCUAUUUAUUGAGAAAAUUUGGAUAUGAGAUAUGACUGCUGCUGCCCGGUGGUGUUGUGCUGUUGUUGGUAGAUCCAUUUCCUUCAUUGGUGUUGUUCUCUGAAAAUUUUCAUAAUGUCUUAAUCAUCAAUCAAUGUGUUAUGGCGGUAGCUCCACUCCUCCCCCAGAGUUUAAUCGAGAUCAUUGUUGAGCACACUGCACUCUCUGUGCACCACCGUGCAUAUCCUCAUCUUCAUCGUAUGCCUCUUGUGCUUGCUUCCUGCGCAUCUCCUCUUCAAUGUUGACAUCGUGGAGAGUGGUCUCUUCACAUUCAUCCAAUUCCAUAUCUGAGAGCUGCACUGAGGUCCUGGGAGGCAGAACGCCCUCCAGCGCCUUGCACUGUUCGGGGUUCAAGGAGUCUGGGAACUCAACACUGAAGUGGAUGUAAAGUUUGCCCUUCAUGAAUGGCCUCUGGUACAUAGGCAUACCCUCAUCGUUUAUGGCCUUGAAUUG
This 716-nucleotide long non-coding RNA is filed under the name Cucumis sativus (cucumber). Its description in RNAcentral is "long non-coding RNA (CSAT_LNC002099)". Lineage: Eukaryota; Viridiplantae; Streptophyta; Magnoliopsida; Cucurbitales; Cucurbitaceae. The record is from RNAcentral.